This 29-nucleotide non-coding RNA is filed under the name Cricetulus griseus (Chinese hamster). The record is from RNAcentral. Lineage: Eukaryota; Metazoa; Chordata; Mammalia; Rodentia; Cricetidae.
GGCUGGUGUUGCUGAAGGCUGGGAAGAAG